Non-coding RNA from Mycena epipterygia, 94 nucleotides. Lineage: Eukaryota; Fungi; Basidiomycota; Agaricomycetes; Agaricales; Mycenaceae. The record is from the annotation of a GenBank genome assembly.
UCAGACAUGGUGUAGCGGUAACAUCGCCUCUUUGAUUAAGCGUAGCUCAUCGAGAUUUAUGAGGCCGUCCCGGGUUCGAACCCCGGUGUCUGAG